This 513-nucleotide ribosomal RNA is filed under the name uncultured bacterium. Its description in RNAcentral is "partial 16S ribosomal RNA". It matches the Rfam family "Bacterial small subunit ribosomal RNA", at positions 355 to 886 of the family's 1533-position model. The record is from RNAcentral.
UGGGGAAUAUUGCACAAUGGGCGAAAGCCUGAUGCAGCAACGCCGCGUGAGUGAUGAAGGUCUUCGGAUUGUAAAGCUCUGUCUUUUGGGACGUAAUGACGGUACCAAAGGAGGAAGCCACGGCUAACUACGUGCCAGCAGCCGCGGUAAUACGUAGGUGGCGAGCGUUGUCCGGAUUUACUGGGCGUAAAGGGUGCGUAGGCGGAUGUUUAAGUGAGAUGUGAAAUACCCGGGCUUAACUUGGGUGCUGCAUUUCAAACUGGAUAUCUAGAGUGCAGGAGAGGAGAAUGGAAUUCCUAGUGUAGCGUGAAAUGCGUAGAGAUUAGGAAGGACACCAGUGGCGAAGGCGAUUCUCUGGACUGUAACUGACGCUGAGGCACGAAAGCGUGGGUAGCAAACAGGAUUAGAUACCCUGGUAGUCCACGCCGUAAACGAUGAGUACUAGGUGUAGGAGGUAUCGACCCCUUCUGUGCCGCAGUAAACACAUUAAGUACUCCGCCUGGGAAGUACGAU